RNAcentral lists this ribosomal RNA (1111 nucleotides) under Vibrio sp. 7910M. Its description in RNAcentral is "bacterial SSU rRNA". It matches the Rfam family "Bacterial small subunit ribosomal RNA", at positions 379 to 1485 of the family's 1533-position model. Lineage: Bacteria; Pseudomonadati; Pseudomonadota; Gammaproteobacteria; Vibrionales; Vibrionaceae. The record is from RNAcentral.
CAGCCUGAUGCGCCAUUCCGCGUGUGUGAAGAAGGCCUUCGGGUUGUAAAGCACUUUCAGUCGUGAGGAAGGUGGUGUAGUUAAUAGCUGCAUUAUUUGACGUUAGCGACAGAAGAAGCACCGGCUAACUCCGUGCCAGCAGCCGCGGUAAUACGGAGGGUGCGAGCGUUAAUCGGAAUUACUGGGCGUAAAGCGCAUGCAGGUGGUUUGUUAAGUCAGAUGUGAAAGCCCGGGGCUCAACCUCGGAAUAGCAUUUGAAACUGGCAGACUAGAGUACUGUAGAGGGGGGUAGAAUUUCAGGUGUAGCGGUGAAAUGCGUAGAGAUCUGAAGGAAUACCGGUGGCGAAGGCGGCCCCCUGGACAGAUACUGACACUCAGAUGCGAAAGCGUGGGGAGCAAACAGGAUUAGAUACCCUGGUAGUCCACGCCGUAAACGAUGUCUACUUGGAGGUUGUGGCCUUGAGCCGUGGCUUUCGGAGCUAACGCGUUAAGUAGACCGCCUGGGGAGUACGGUCGCAAGAUUAAAACUCAAAUGAAUUGACGGGGGCCCGCACAAGCGGUGGAGCAUGUGGUUUAAUUCGAUGCAACGCGAAGAACCUUACCUACUCUUGACAUCCAGAGAACUUUCCAGAGAUGGAUUGGUGCCUUCGGGAACUCUGAGACAGGUGCUGCAUGGCUGUCGUCAGCUCGUGUUGUGAAAUGUUGGGUUAAGUCCCGCAACGAGCGCAACCCUUAUCCUUGUUUGCCAGCGAGUAAUGUCGGGAACUCCAGGGAGACUGCCGGUGAUAAACCGGAGGAAGGUGGGGACGACGUCAAGUCAUCAUGGCCCUUACGAGUAGGGCUACACACGUGCUACAAUGGCGCAUACAGAGGGCAGCCAACUUGCGAAAGUGAGCGAAUCCCAAAAAGUGCGUCGUAGUCCGGAUUGGAGUCUGCAACUCGACUCCAUGAAGUCGGAAUCGCUAGUAAUCGUGGAUCAGAAUGCCACGGUGAAUACGUUCCCGGGCCUUGUACACACCGCCCGUCACACCAUGGGAGUGGGCUGCAAAAGAAGUAGGUAGUUUAACCUUCGGGGGGACGCUUACCACUUUGUGGUCAUGACUGGGUGAUC